This 216-nucleotide ribosomal RNA is filed under the name Glomeromycotina sp. RNAcentral describes it as "partial small subunit ribosomal RNA". The stretch from base 44 to 216 matches the Rfam family "Eukaryotic small subunit ribosomal RNA", at positions 690 to 864 of the family's 1831-position model. The record is from RNAcentral. Lineage: Eukaryota; Fungi; Glomeromycota.
GGGUCAGUAGGUUGGUCGUGCCACCGGUACGUACUGGUCUCACUGAUUCCUCCUUCCUGAAGAACCGUAAUGCCAUUAAUUUGGUGUUGCGGGGAAACAGGACUGUUACUUUGAAAAAAUUAGAGUGUUUAAAGCAAGCUAACGCUUGAACACAUUAGCAUGGAAUAAUGAAAUAGGACGAUCGAUCCUAUUUUGUUGGUCUCUAGGAUUGACGUA